GACGGCCGUACCAUGCUGAAUAUACCGGUUCUCGUUAGAUCACCGAAGUUAAGCAUCAUUGGGCGCGGUCAGUACUUGGGUGGGUGACCACCUGGGAACACUGCGUGCCGUU
Molecule: ribosomal RNA, 112 nt
Filed under: Caerostris darwini
Lineage: Eukaryota; Metazoa; Arthropoda; Arachnida; Araneae; Araneidae
Source: RNAcentral